Molecule: ribosomal RNA, 510 nt
Filed under: uncultured bacterium
Lineage: Bacteria
Description: bacterial SSU rRNA
Rfam family: Bacterial small subunit ribosomal RNA
Source: RNAcentral
UAGUCCACGCCGUAAACGAUGUCUACUAGCCGUUGGGACUCUUGAAGUCUUAGUGGCGCAGCUAACGCACUAAGUAGACCGCCUGGGGAGUACGGCCGCAAGGUUAAAACUCAAAUGAAUUGACGGGGGCCCGCACAAGCGGUGGAGCAUGUGGUUUAAUUCGACGCAACGCGAAGAACCUUACCUGGCCUUGACAUGCAGAGAACUUUCCAGAGAUGGAUUGGUGCCUUCGGGAACUCUGACACAGGUGCUGCAUGGCCGUCGUCAGCUCGUGUCGUGAGAUGUUGGGUUAAGUCCCGUAACGAGCGCAACCCCUAUCCCUAGUUGCUAGCAGUUCGGCUGAGAACUCUAGGGAGAUUGCCGGUGACAAACCGGAGGAAGGUGGGGAUGACGUCAGGUCAGUCAUGGCCCUUACGGCCAGGGCUACACACGUGCUACAAUGGCCGUGACAAAGAGUUGCUACUUUGUGAAAACAAGCUAAUCUCAUAAACGCGGCCACAGUUCGGAUUG